This is a long non-coding RNA of Alosa sapidissima (American shad), 402 nucleotides long. RefSeq lists it as uncharacterized. The record is from RefSeq and is a predicted model, not a curated record. NCBI's taxonomy places the organism in Eukaryota, Metazoa, Chordata, Actinopteri, Clupeiformes, Clupeidae. The transcript is spliced from 3 exons.
ACGCAAGAAGCUUGAUAAGGACUAUUAUUACAAGUAGCCCCUCUCAGGUAACUAUGCAGUUGCACAAAAGAAGAAUAAAGAAAUGAGAGGUGGAAUAUUUGUCUAUAGACCCUCUUCCCACUGCCACACGUGUGUUUGCUUAAAUGUAUCCAGGCACCACUUGUUAUGUUGUUACAACAUGCAAGGUUAAUGAACAUCUCUGACAGUACUGAUGAUGCAGGGAGAGUUUCUCUACAAAACUCUCAAAAGAAAUGCACUUCGGGAAUAAAAACAAAAAAUGUCUUUAAAUGGUUAAGGCCUCUUCAGCAUCACACCAGGAUGACAGUACAUGGGACAUUCAAUUCUAUAAUAAUUCAGCUUAAAGGGACACCAGGCAAUGUUUUGUGUUUAUUAAUCAUCUUC